GAGUGGCGAACGGGUGAGUAACACGUGGGUAACCUGCCCAGAAGUAGGGGAUAACACCUGGAAACAGAUGCUAAUACCGUAUAACAGAGAAAACCGCAUGGUUUUCUUUUAAAAGAUGGCUCUGCUAUCACUUCUGGAUGGACCCGCGGCGUAUUAGCUAGUUGGUGAGGUAAAGGCUCACCAAGGCAGUGAUACGUAGCCGACCUGAGAGGGUAAUCGGCCACAUUGGGACUGAGACACGGCCCAGACUCCUACGGGAGGCAGCAGUAGGGAAUCUUCCACAAUGGACGCAAGUCUGAUGGAGCAACGCCGCGUGAGUGAAGAAGGGUUUCGGCUCGUAAAGCUCUGUUGUUAAAGAAGAACGUGGGUAAGAGUAACUGUUUACCCAGUGACGGUAUUUAACCAGAAAGCCACGGCUAACUACGUGCCAGCAGCCGCGGUAAUACGUAGGUGGCAAGCGUUAUCCGGAUUUAUUGGGCGUAAAGCGAGCGCAGGCGGUCUUUUAAGUCUAAUGUGAAAGCCUUCGGCUCAACCGAAGAAGUGCAUUGGAAACUGGGAGACUUGAGUGCAGAAGAGGACAGUGGAACUCCAUGUGUAGCGGUGAAAUGCGUAGAUAUAUGGAAGA
RNAcentral lists this ribosomal RNA (625 nucleotides) under Pediococcus pentosaceus. RNAcentral's name for it is "bacterial SSU rRNA". It matches the Rfam family "Bacterial small subunit ribosomal RNA", at positions 93 to 705 of the family's 1533-position model. The record is from RNAcentral. Lineage: Bacteria; Bacillati; Bacillota; Bacilli; Lactobacillales; Lactobacillaceae.